RNAcentral lists this ribosomal RNA (305 nucleotides) under uncultured bacterium. RNAcentral describes it as "bacterial SSU rRNA". It matches the Rfam family "Bacterial small subunit ribosomal RNA", at positions 333 to 655 of the family's 1533-position model. The record is from RNAcentral.
AAAAUCCUACGGGGGGCAGCAGUGGGGUAUAUUGCACAAUGGGGGAAACCCUGAUGCAGCGACGCCGCGUGGGUGAAGAAGCGCCUCGGCGCGUAAAGCCCUGUCAGCAGGGAAGAAAAUGACGGUACUUGAAGAAGAAGCCCCGGCUAACUACGUGCCAGCAGCCGCGGUAAUACGUAGGGGGCAAGCGUUAUCCGGAUUUACUGGGUGUAAAGGGGGCGCAGACGGCGAUGCAAGCCAGGAGUGAAAGCCCGGUGCCCAACCCCGGGACUGCUCUUGGAACUGCGUGGCUAGAUUGCAGGUGG